AACUCGCCUACAUGAAGCUGGAAUUGCUAGUAAUCACAGGUCAGCAUACUGUGGUGAAUACGUUCCCGGGCCUUGUACACACCGCCCGUCACACCAUGAGAGUUGAGAAUACCCGAAGCCCAUGUCAAAGUGGUCGAAGGUAGGCUUGAUGAUUGGGGUGAAGUCGUAACAAGGUACC
Molecule: ribosomal RNA, 178 nt
Filed under: uncultured bacterium
Lineage: Bacteria
Description: partial 16S ribosomal RNA
Rfam family: Bacterial small subunit ribosomal RNA
Source: RNAcentral